RNAcentral lists this transfer RNA (68 nucleotides) under Marmota monax (woodchuck). RNAcentral describes it as "tRNA.Ala". The stretch from base 5 to 65 matches the Rfam family "tRNA", at positions 6 to 65 of the family's 71-position model. From Rfam's summary of the family: Transfer RNA (tRNA) molecules are approximately 80 nucleotides in length. Their secondary structure includes four short double-helical elements and three loops (D, anti-codon, and T loops). Further hydrogen bonds mediate the characteristic L-shaped molecular structure. tRNAs have two regions of fundamental functional importance: the anti-codon, which is responsible for specific mRNA codon recognition, and the 3' end, to which the tRNAs corresponding amino acid is attached (by aminoacyl-tRNA synthetases). tRNAs cope with the degeneracy of the genetic code in two manners: having more than one tRNA (with a specific anti-codon) for a particular amino acid; and 'wobble' base-pairing, i.e. permitting non-standard base-pairing at the 3rd anti-codon position. The record is from RNAcentral. Lineage: Eukaryota; Metazoa; Chordata; Mammalia; Rodentia; Sciuridae.
AGUAUGUAGCUCAAUGGUAGAGUGCCUGCUUAGCAUGCAUGAGGUUCUGGGUUCCAUCCCCAAUACUG